Molecule: long non-coding RNA, 1403 nt
Filed under: Homo sapiens (human)
Lineage: Eukaryota; Metazoa; Chordata; Mammalia; Primates; Hominidae
Description: novel transcript
Source: RNAcentral
ACUUCCGGUCAGAACAUCAAUGACCGCCAUUUGAAUCAACAAAAGGAGCUGUAACACUGUGAGGGUCUGGUCAGCUGCUUCAUUCUUGAAGUCAGUGAGACCGCAAACCCACCAGAAGGAACCAACUCCGGACACAGAGGGACUAGAUAAUACUGGCUGAAUGAAGGAAUAUGAACAAGGCCACUUGAAUCCCUACUCUUUGGGCUUCUCCAGUAAAGUGGAUUCACUAGUAUAAGAAUGAGAGGCAUCUAUGUUCUCUAAUUUCUAAAGGUGAUUUCUAUCUUAAAAAUAAUAAUUAGAUUGAAGCACCCGGAUACCUUCUCAACCAUCAUCUUACAUGUAAAGUUCCUGGUAUAGAGCUCAGCACAUUGUCAUUCUCACAAAUGGCAGGCAACUAAAAUGAUAUAAGAUGCCCUUCUUGCAUGGCCGUAUAUCUUGAGCUUAUGGAUGAUUUAUUGCAACUGGCUGUUACUUCUCUCCCUUGAGCUCAUGGAGGGUGUCUUGGUCCUGAUUAUAUUUCAAGCUAACCUUCCCACUGUGAACUACUGGCAUCUUACUUUUUGACCCCUUGACAAGAAGAACUGGAGUUACCAAAAUGCUGUCAUUUAAGGUGUUGGAGUGGAAACCAGAACAUUACCUAUUAUCAAGAAGGGGUUUCUUCUAAGGCAUUCAGGAGCCUCAUGGUUUUGUCAGCUGAAAUAGUACACCCACUAUAGAGUAGAGUGAAUUUAGUGUUUAUUUCUGCUGAUGAUGAAGGAGCCAUUCCAAAUUACUCUACUGGAAUUACAUUGAACAUGGACAAAAAUCUUCAAUCAAACAAAUUCAUACAAAAGGAAUUCAGGGUAUUUAAUCAGAAGAGAAGGAGACAGAGGAGGCAAAGAUACCAUUUUCAAGUGUCGGGAAGUCCAUAAUGUCAUUUAGAAGAGGGCAUGGUCCUGUUCAGUGUUGCGUGUAUUAUUGCUCCUUUCCAUGCCUAUCUCAAUAAAGAAAAUAGAGCAGAUUUUAGUUCAAUAUAAUCAGUAAACAACACUCAGGUAUAACACAGAAACAACAGUUCUCUAGAAAUAUAAGGCUCUCCAAAAUUGUAUCAAUUCAAAUAGAAGCUAAGUUCCUAUAUGACUUUUCAUGAAUAUAGUAAGAAUGACUUCUUGCCUAUGUGAAAAAUGGGACUCAACUAGAUGGCCCGUAAUUUGCAACUCUAAAUUUCUAGUGUACAUGACUGAAUGAGUAUCUGUAAUAUGGUUUGCAUUCCCUAACCUCUUAGGGAGCUCUUAAAAAGUAUAAAACUGGUCACAAAUAUUAAUUGAGAAGGUUGCAAUCUAUUGAGGAGCCCAGUGUCAGUUCUAAGAAAAAGAAAUGAAAGAAUGCAAUGCAGGAGUUCAAUAAAGAAAUUUCAGAAUAGA